RNAcentral lists this ribosomal RNA (247 nucleotides) under uncultured Actinomycetales bacterium. RNAcentral describes it as "partial 16S ribosomal RNA". It matches the Rfam family "Bacterial small subunit ribosomal RNA", at positions 85 to 334 of the family's 1533-position model. The record is from RNAcentral. Lineage: Bacteria; Bacillati; Actinomycetota; Actinomycetes; Actinomycetales.
GGGUGCUCGAGUGGCGAACGGGUGAGUAACACGUGAGUAACCUGCCCUUGACUUUGGGAUAACUUCAGGAAACUGGGCUAAUACCGGAUAGGAGCUCCUGCUGCAUGGUGGGGGUUGGAAAGUUUCGGCGGUUGGGGAUGGACUCGCGGCUUAUCAGCUUGUUGGUGGGGUAGUGGCUUACCAAGGCUUUGACGGGUAGCCGGCCUGAGAGGGUGACCGGCCACAUUGGGACUGAGAUACGGCCCAG